Molecule: ribosomal RNA, 532 nt
Filed under: uncultured bacterium
Lineage: Bacteria
Description: bacterial SSU rRNA
Rfam family: Bacterial small subunit ribosomal RNA
Source: RNAcentral
UGGGGAAUAUUGCACAAUGGGCGAAAGCCUGAUGCAGCGACGCCGCGUGAGGGAUGACGGCCUUCGGGUUGUAAACCUCUCUCGACAGGGACGAAGCGUAAGUGACGGUACCUGUAGAAGAAGCACCGGCCAACUACGUGCCAGCAGCCGCGGUAAUACGUAGGGUGCGAGCGUUGUCCGGAAUUACUGGGCGUAAAGAGCUUGUAGGCGGUUUGUCGCGUCGUCUGUGAAAACUCACAGCUCAACUGUGAGCUUGCAGGCGAUACGGGCAGACUUGAGUACUGCAGGGGAGACUGGAAUUCCUGGUGUAGCGGUGAAAUGCGCAGAUAUCAGGAGGAACACCGGUGGCGAAGGCGGGUCUCUGGGCAGUAACUGACGCUGAGAAGCGAAAGCGUGGGUAGCGAACAGGAUUAGAUACCCUGGUAGUCCACGCCGUAACGGUGGGGUACUAGGUGUGGGGUUUCCUUCCACGGGAUCCGUGCCGUAGCUAACGCAUUNNGUACCCCGCCUGGGGGAGUACGGCCGCAAGGCU